GACGAACCGAGCGAACGUUGUUCGGAAUCACUGGGCUUAAAGGGCGCGUAGGCGGGCUGUCAAGUCUGGGGUGAAAUCCCCCGGCUCAACCGGGGAACGGGCCUCGAUACGAGCGGCCUGGAGGGAGGUAGGGGGGGCUGGAACUUCCGGUGGAGCGGUGAAAUGCGUAGAUAUCAUUUGGAACGCCAACGGAGAAAUCAGGUAGCUGGGGGUGUGCUGACGCUGAGACACGAAAGCCAGGGGAGCGAACGGG
This 253-nucleotide ribosomal RNA is filed under the name uncultured bacterium. Its description in RNAcentral is "partial 16S ribosomal RNA". It matches the Rfam family "Bacterial small subunit ribosomal RNA", at positions 524 to 776 of the family's 1533-position model. The record is from RNAcentral.